This 253-nucleotide ribosomal RNA is filed under the name uncultured bacterium. RNAcentral describes it as "partial 16S ribosomal RNA". It matches the Rfam family "Bacterial small subunit ribosomal RNA", at positions 524 to 776 of the family's 1533-position model. The record is from RNAcentral.
UACGUAGGGUGCGAGCGUUGUCCGGAAUUACUGGGCGUAAAGAGCUCGUAGGUGGUUUGUCGCGUUGUUCGUGAAAACCGGGGGCUUAACCCUCGGCGUGCGGGCGAUACGGGCAGACUUGAGUACUGCAGGGGAGACUGGAAUUCCUGGUGUAGCGGUGGAAUGCGCAGAUAUCAGGAGGAACACCAAUAGCGAAGGCAGCUCGCUGGGACGUUACUGACACUGAGGCGCGAAAGCGUGGGGAGCAAACGGG